Molecule: non-coding RNA, 103 nt
Filed under: Yersinia massiliensis
Lineage: Bacteria; Pseudomonadati; Pseudomonadota; Gammaproteobacteria; Enterobacterales; Yersiniaceae
Source: RNAcentral
UUAUAGACAAAAUCCCUACAACGGAAAGAGCAGGCAGAUCGUAAAGACGCCGUAAAAUCAUCCCUGAUGGCUCAAGCCACGCCAUCUUUGGCGCGGACGCUUU